GCCAAGGCAUGGUGGCGCAUGCCUGUGAUCCCAGCAGCUCAGGAGGCUGAGGCAGGAGGACAGCAGGUUCAAAGCCAACCUCAGCAACAGUGAAGUGCUAAGCAGCUCAGUGAGACCCUGUCUCUA
Molecule: small RNA, 126 nt
Filed under: Marmota monax (woodchuck)
Lineage: Eukaryota; Metazoa; Chordata; Mammalia; Rodentia; Sciuridae
Source: RNAcentral